This 931-nucleotide long non-coding RNA is filed under the name Pan troglodytes (chimpanzee). Its description in RNAcentral is "long non-coding RNA NONPTRT015424". The record is from RNAcentral. Lineage: Eukaryota; Metazoa; Chordata; Mammalia; Primates; Hominidae.
CGUGAGGCCGUCGGGGUCAAGGAGGAUGCGGUGUGAGGUGUCUGACUCAGCCCUGAGCUGCCCCCAGGAAAGCACACGGCAGCCAGGCCUGAGGGGACAGAAUCGAGGGCGGACUGUGGACAAACCUGGCAUGGAUGGUAACAAUGGUAGGCGUCGUGAGGCAGGACCAUGCCGGGAGAAAAACCAGGGAGCCAGGGAGACCUCGUCUGAAGAAGUUGCCAGGGAAGGUAGACUUGAAACUUUGCAUUUUCCCUUUGGCUUUGAUGACAGGAAACAACUUUACCUGUUGAGCUGGUGCCUUUUCUGUAAGCAAGUUCUCAAAGCCCUUCCAAGUGUUUUCCGCCACCUGGACUGAGGCUUCUGCCCCAGCUUUGACAGCCAGGCAUCAUUAGCAGGGAUAUUAAUGUUUUGUCAGGGCUGUUCUAUGAGAGUCUGGGUGCUGGGUGUCCUGCAGACCAGACCCACCUGUGGGACUCAGCGCUCUAGCCCCUACUCCUAAGAAGCAAGUCUGAAGAGGGCCGUUCUGCCAGGUGCCUCUGCACCUGCCCAGUGGAGAGGCUGAGCUGUGUCAAGAGGGCGGCAGGGCUGCUCCUCCACUGUGCGUCCUCGCUGACCGAGGGUGUGUUUCACAGCGGUGAUGGGUGCUGACUGAGGGUGUUUCGCAGCGGUGAUGGGUGCCGACUGAAGGUGUGUUUCACAGCGGUGACGGGCAGCAACUGACUGAGGGUGUGUUUCACAGUGGUGAUGGGCACCGACUGACUGAGGGUGUGUUUCACAGUGGUGACGGGCACCGACUGACUGAGGGUGUGUUUCACAGUGGUGACGGGCACCGACUGAGGGUGUGUUUCACAGUGGUGACGGGCACCGACUGACUGAGGGUGUGUUUCACAGUGGUGACGGGCACCAACUGACCGAGGGUGUUUCGCAGCGG